Molecule: long non-coding RNA, 1063 nt
Filed under: Nicotiana benthamiana
Lineage: Eukaryota; Viridiplantae; Streptophyta; Magnoliopsida; Solanales; Solanaceae
Description: long non-coding RNA (NBEN_LNC038606)
Source: RNAcentral
UAGGACCCCACCCCCUCCUGUCAUCGUCUUCUUUGACGCCAACUACCCCAAAAGAGCCCAUCAUUCUGCUUUUCUUCUCCAAUGGAGAGCCAACCAACAACCCUAUCACCUCCCUCCAUGGCUUGAGCUUCAACCAAGAAAAUCAGCCGCUGAACACGGAGAACGACCCCUCAUCUAACCUCCUUCUUCUUCAGCUAAAAGAGAACGCGAAAGAACGAAACCCAUCUGCUUCUGCACUCCGUCAACAACCAGACCCCCUUAAUUUCGAGUUGACCCCUGCUUCUUCUUCAACUCGCGGGAAACCGGUCUAAAAAAUCACACAUGCAUGAACAGUAAGGAGGAACAGACGUACACGGAAUGAAAAUCAGAGGUGUUUUGUAUAUAAAUUAGGAAGAAAUCAUGGAAAGUUCCGAAGAGUUCACAAAAAUCCCUGCCAAUUCAAUCCUUUUAAUGUCAUUUUUUGCUUCUCAAAUCUGAAAAGAACAUACACUAUAGCUUCUAAUUUUAAUCUUCUCUUAUGGGAUGUGAUGGAGUCGAGGGGAGUUCGAUCUGAUUGUCCUCCGUCGAUUAUUUGUCUCCAAGGUUUCGUUCGGGUCGGAUUGCUUUUUGAUUUCUGAUUGAGGCUAUGGUUCCAUUCCGUUCAUGUAAUUGCUGGAUUUUGUUUAUCAAUCAAAAGGCUAUUUCAGGUUCAUUGUUUCUCCCUCUGUUAUUUGUGGUAUUUGUGUCUUAUAUUUCAUAGUUAAAAAUGGAGGAAGCUUAUGUUUGAUUGUUUUGACUCCAUCGUGUGAAUAUUGUGUUGGUGUAAAUUUUCAGCUCAAUAUUUUUGCUUAGUGUAGAUUUCUUUUGUUCUCGAGAUCUGAUUUGUAGUAGACUUUGUUAUCAAACUCAUUCUAUAGUCUGCCAUCAUGAGUUUCGAAAAUGAUAAUUUCUUAUCUUAUUUUAGUUGUGAUAUUGUUAAAUAGAUCAACUAUUGACAGUAUAUCAAUGAAAUGGGCAUAUUUUGGUUGCGAUUUCCUCAUCUUGUCUGCAAGUUCAUUCACAGUUUGUGUUCAAUCAAGUGAAG